AGUGAACGCUGGCGGUAGGCCUAACACAUGCAAGUCGAACGGCAGCACAGUAAGAGCUUGCUCUUACGGGUGGCGAGUGGCGGACGGGUGAGGAAUACAUCGGAAUCUACUUUUUCGUGGGGGAUAACGUAGGGAAACUUACGCUAAUACCGCAUACGACCUACGGGUGAAAGCAGGGGAUCUUCGGACCUUGCGCGAUUGAAUGAGCCGAUGUCGGAUUAGCUAGUUGGCGGGGUAAAGGCCCACCAAGGCGACGAUCCGUAGCUGGUCUGAGAGGAUGAUCAGCCACACUGGAACUGAGACACGGUCCAGACUCCUACGGGAGGCAGCAGUGGGGAAUAUUGGACAAUGGGCGCAAGCCUGAUCCAGCCAUACCGCGUGGGUGAAGAAGGCCUUCGGGUUGUAAAACCCUUUUGUUGGGAAAGAAAAGCAGCAGGUUAAUACCCCGCUGUUCUGACGGUACCCAAAGAAUAAGCACCGGCUAACUUCGU
Molecule: ribosomal RNA, 491 nt
Filed under: uncultured bacterium
Lineage: Bacteria
Description: partial 16S ribosomal RNA
Rfam family: Bacterial small subunit ribosomal RNA
Source: RNAcentral